Molecule: ribosomal RNA, 121 nt
Filed under: Pteropus alecto (black flying fox)
Lineage: Eukaryota; Metazoa; Chordata; Mammalia; Chiroptera; Pteropodidae
Source: RNAcentral
GUGUAUGGCCACGCUACCCUGAACAAGCCCAACCCCAUCUGAUUUCAUGAAAGCUAAGCAGGGUCGGGCCUGGUUAGUACUUGGAGGGGAGACCACCUAGGAAGACCAGGUGCUAUAGGCG